Molecule: ribosomal RNA, 484 nt
Filed under: uncultured bacterium
Lineage: Bacteria
Description: bacterial SSU rRNA
Rfam family: Bacterial small subunit ribosomal RNA
Source: RNAcentral
AUUGAACGCUGGCGGCAUGCCUUACACAUGCAAGUCGAACGGUAACAGGUCUUCGGAUGCUGACGAGUGGCGAACGGGUGAGUAAUACAUCGGAACGUGCCCGAUCGUGGGGGAUAACUACUCGAAAGAGUGGCUAAUACCGCAUACGAUCUACGGAUGAAAGCAGGGGACCCGCAAGGGCCUUGCGCGGACGGAGCGGCCGAUGGCAGAUUAGGUAGUUGGUGGGAUAAAAGCUUACCAAGCCGACGAUCUGUAGCUGGUCUGAGAGGACGACCAGCCACACUGGGACUGAGACACGGCCCAGACUCCUACGGGAGGCAGCAGUGGGGAAUUUUGGACAAUGGGGGAAACCCUGAUCCAGCAAUGCCGCGUGCAGGAUGAAGGCCCUCGGGUUGUAAACUGCUUUUGUACGGAACGAAAAGCCCUCUUCUAAUACAGGGGGGUCAUGACGGUACCGUAAGAAUAAGCACCGGCUAACUACGUG